AUUGAACGCUGGCGGCAGGCCUAACACAUGCAAGUCGAACGGAGUGGCGAACGGGUGAGUAAUGUAUAGGAACGUGCCUGGUAGCGGGGGAUAACUACGGGAAAGAGUCGCUAAUACCGCAUACUAUUAGAGCGGCCGAUUUCGGAUUAGCUAGUUGGUGGGGUAAAGGCUCACCAAGGCGACGAUCCGUAGCUGGUUUGAGAGGACGACCAGCCACACUUGAACUUGUACACGGCCCAGACUCCUACGGGAGGCAGCAGUGGGGAAUUUUGGACAAUGGGGGAAACCCUGAUCCAGCCAUCCCGCGUGUGCGAUGAAGGCCUUCGGAUUGUAAAGCACUUUUGGCAGGAAGGCGGUACCUGCAGAAUAAGCACCGGCUAACUACGUGCCAGCAGCCGCGGUAAUAC
RNAcentral lists this ribosomal RNA (407 nucleotides) under uncultured bacterium. Its description in RNAcentral is "partial 16S ribosomal RNA". It matches the Rfam family "Bacterial small subunit ribosomal RNA", at positions 30 to 526 of the family's 1533-position model. The record is from RNAcentral.